CCGGGUGCUGCGCGUCCGCCGAGCGGCAGAGCCUUGGGAACCCUGCCUGGUAGCUCCGCCCAGGCCGUGUGGUCCUCGAAUCUGCGUUCCCCGUGGAGACCUCGCUACGCUCUGCCUUGAGGCACAGGCACAAACAACCCGCUUGAAGUCAGGGGCUCGGGUCUGAGUCCAAACCUGUGACCUUGGCCUGCUGCCAUCUCAUUGCCUCCCGGGUCACAUCUAAUUUUAAGAAUCUUUGCUGUUUCCCGGCUUUUGAACAGUUCUCUUCCAGGACUACAUUUUAAGUCACUCCGCAGGCCUUCUUCACGCCGCAGCGCCUGGGGUGCAGUGUCCUCAUUAUCGUAACUACGUCCUCCAACUCCCAUCAGGCAGCGACAUCUGGACAGUGAGGAUGCUUUUAGUUUUUGAAGUAUUCUCACGAGAGUCCGGGCUGUGGUGGAUCUUGAAUUUUCCAAAAGGCCUGAGACUUUUGGCAUCUGUGGAAGACUCUAUAUCGCCUUACUUUUGUUAAAAAUAUAAACUGGGGUUUUGAGUUUUAUUACCCAAUGUGACCUAAAUGGUGGUCAAAAGUUAUAGUAAAGGAAAGACAAGCUCACAACACUAGCAUUGCAGAUUUUUCCUCUCUAGAUUUCUGUAUGGUCACAUUUCUUUGCAGUUUUUUCACUUUUGAGAAUUUAACUAUUUAAAGACUUUUUAAAAAUUCUGUGGAUCCUGUGUAUAUCCAGUAUUUUUAAAAUUUAUCUUGUUUUUCUGCUUCGCAAAUUUAAACCGAGUGCCCCCCAACAGUUACUCUGCUAAGUUCUACUAAAAUUUUAAAAAUCAAGGAAUCAAGUUUUAUUUAUCCUACUGAAUAUGGAUUAAAUAGGAAAUUCAGAGGGUUAGCCGAAUCCAUGGUUAUUAAAAAUCUGGCAGUGGGAGUCCGGGGAAGGAAGCUAAGAACGUCCUAGAAACUACACUGGAAAACUGAAGGCAGGCACCUCUUCCAUGGAAAUCCAAUCAGCUUUAAGAGGACCCAGGAGGGCAGAACUGCCCUUGAAAUGCUAAAAUUGGGAAAACAGCUUGAGAAUGUUAUGAAGCAAGACACACUGACGUGAAAGAUAUUUUCAUCUCCACUCACUUGGUGCCAACUCAGAGCAAAGUUAGGAAAACAGAGCACCAUGUGCUGUAAAGUAAUACUGAAUGGAACAGAGACUUGGAUCUGAAGUGCAAGAUCAGGUGCUGAUGCUGGCAGAUUCCACGUUUGGUUUGCCCCACUAUCCAAAAGCUGGCUUCACACCACUUCGCUUUUACAAAUGACCUACAGUAGUACCUGUCUUCACUGAAGAAAUCCGAAGAGGAUUUUCACUUUUACGAAAAAAGGUGAAAAUAGCGUCCUGCAUUUGUUUUGCAGUGAGUCGUUACAGAGGCUAAGCAGUCAGGCAUACUGUCAUAUUUCAAACCUUCCACAUCAGCCACAGCAGACAAUGAACCUGGACCUUCGACAUCGAGACAGGCAGACACAGAAGAAGGGUCUCCUGUACCCCCCACCGUCCCCACCUCAGACGACUCAGCCUUCACAUCAUCACCG
This is a long non-coding RNA of Equus caballus (horse), 1567 nucleotides long. The record is from Ensembl. NCBI's taxonomy places the organism in Eukaryota, Metazoa, Chordata, Mammalia, Perissodactyla, Equidae.